This 500-nucleotide ribosomal RNA is filed under the name uncultured bacterium. RNAcentral describes it as "bacterial SSU rRNA". It matches the Rfam family "Bacterial small subunit ribosomal RNA", at positions 8 to 518 of the family's 1533-position model. The record is from RNAcentral.
AGAGUUUGAUCCGUGGCUUAGGACGAACGCUGGCGGCGUGCUUAAUAUAUGCAAGUUGAGCGGAGCUAAUAGUGAGUUUACUAUUAUUAGUCGAGCAGCGGACGGGUGAGUAACGCGUGGGCAAUCUGCCCUCUAGUUUGGGAUAACAGUUCGAAAGGACUGCUAACACCGAAUAAUCUUAAAUUUGGGCAUCUAAAAUUUAAGGAAAGUUAACGCUAGAGGAUGAGCCCGCGUCCCAUUAGCUAGUUGGUGAGGUAACGGCCCACCAAGGCAACGAUGGGUAGCCGACCUGAGAGGGUGACCGGCCACACUGGGACUGAGACACGGCCCAGACUCCUACGGGAGGCAGCAGUAGGGAAUUUUCCGCAAUGGAACCGAAAGUCUGACGGAGCAACGCCGCGUGAGGGAUGAAGGUUUUCGGAUCGUAAACCUCUGUCCUUGGGGAAGAUAAUGACGGUACCCAAGGAGGAAGCCACGGCUAACUACGUGCCAGCCGCUGC